Molecule: long non-coding RNA, 582 nt
Organism: Asparagus officinalis (garden asparagus)
Lineage: Eukaryota; Viridiplantae; Streptophyta; Magnoliopsida; Asparagales; Asparagaceae
Exons: 3
Source: RefSeq, a predicted model, not a curated record
UAUGUUACAUGGAUAUCUGCAUUAGUAAAUUGAGAUCUCUCAUCUUUAAUUAGUUUGGUGUGUUCUCUUGAUAUCAGAAUCACAAAUGGAUAACUCAACGAGUAACAGAGGGAAACUAGGCAACCGGCACCCUCCUCCUCCAGGAUACCCUACUCGCACAAUAAAACAGAAGAGGCCUCUUUGCCCUCAUACCAAAAGGAAGGAUGAUAAAAGCUUCAUUGAAGGAUGUCUUGCUGCACUAUGCUGUUGUUGGAUAUGCGAGGUCUGUUGCGAUUGAGAAGUGGCAAGAUCAUAGAUUGUGAAGGAUUAUUUUACAACUGGAGAAAAGAAACAAUGAUGCUUAUGAAUAACAAUACAGAAGAGCAUACUUGCGUGCAAGAUUUGAUGUGCUAUAUAGUUUGUACUCUUGUGUUGAUGAAAUAAUCAUGUAUAAUUUCUGGGUUAUCAGUGGAUACAUUGUUUGGUUAGCAUUUUUUAUACUACAAAGUUGAGGUUGUCAUGUUAGGUAUAAGAUGCGUCAAAUGUGAUCUGCGUAUAUCUCACUAAUUCUCAGGUGAUUCAAUUUAAUUCAAUGUUAUGGUA